UGUGUAGGUGGCCUGUUAAGUUCCGUGUGAAAUCUCCCGGCUCAACCGGGAGGGUGCGCGGAAAACUGGCGGGCUAGAGUGCGGGAUGGGAGAGUGGAAUUCCUGGUGUAGCGGUGAAAUGCGUAGAUAUCAGGAGGAACACCGGUGGUGUAGACGGCUCUCUGGACCGUAACUGACGCUGAGACACGAAAGCGUGGGUAGCAAACAGGAUUAGAUACCCUGGUAGUCCACGCCCUAAACGAUGCAUAUUUGGUGUAGGUCAUUCAGUUGAUCUGUGCCGGAGCUAACGCGUUAAAUAUGCCGCCUGGGGAGUACAGUCGCAAGGCUGAA
Molecule: ribosomal RNA, 330 nt
Filed under: uncultured bacterium
Lineage: Bacteria
Description: bacterial SSU rRNA
Rfam family: Bacterial small subunit ribosomal RNA
Source: RNAcentral